CUGCAGGCAAUUAAGCUGACCAUACUCCUUUCCCCAUGGGGGCCUGGUGUGCAAUGGCUGCAAACAGCAGCCUCCUUGGUAGUGUAUGCAGCCUGUGGCUUGUAUGGGUUGCUAGGACCUUGGAGACAGUC
Molecule: small nucleolar RNA, 131 nt
Organism: Microcebus murinus (gray mouse lemur)
Lineage: Eukaryota; Metazoa; Chordata; Mammalia; Primates; Cheirogaleidae
Gene: SNORA70
Rfam family: Small nucleolar RNA SNORA70
About the family: snoRNA U70 seems to be exclusive to mammals and is a member of the H/ACA class of snoRNA which contain H (ANANNA) and ACA box motifs.
Source: Ensembl